UAACUAGGAUUCCCUUAGUAACGGCGAGUGAACCGGGAUGAGCUCAAAUUUAAAAUCUGGCGUCUUUCAGGCGUCCGAGUUGUAAUCUAUAGAGGCGUUUUCCGCGCCGGACCGCGUCCAAGUCUCUUGGAAUAGAGUAUCAAAGAGGGUGACAAUCCCGUACUUGACGCGACAACCGGUGCUCUGUGAUACGUUCUCAAUGAGUCGAGUUGUUUGGGAAUGCAGCUCUAAAUGGGUGGUAAAUUCCAUCUAAGGCUAAAUAUUGGCGAGAGACCGAUAGCGAACAAGUACCGUGAGGGAAAGAUGAAAAGCACUUUGGAAAGAGAGUUAAACAGCACGUGAAAUUGUUAAAAGGGAAACGAUUGAAGUCAGUCGUGUGAAAGGUAUUCAGCCGUCUCUGGCGGUGUAUUUGCCUUUCACGGGUCAACAUCAGUUUGAUCCGGUAGAAAAAGGCGGGAGGAAGGUGGCACCCUCGGGUGUGUUAUAGCCUCCUGUCAUAUGUGCCGGACCAGACUGAGGAACGCAGCUUGCCGCAAGGCCGGGGUUCGCCCACGUACAAGCUUAGGA
RNAcentral lists this ribosomal RNA (567 nucleotides) under Vishniacozyma victoriae. Its description in RNAcentral is "partial large subunit ribosomal RNA". It matches the Rfam family "Eukaryotic large subunit ribosomal RNA", at positions 66 to 618 of the family's 3401-position model. Lineage: Eukaryota; Fungi; Basidiomycota; Tremellomycetes; Tremellales; Bulleribasidiaceae. The record is from RNAcentral.